AAGUCGUAACAAGGUUUCCGUAGGUGAACCUGCGGAAGGAUCAUUACUGAUCAAUCACUUUGUUCCUAUCUACUCCUGUCUAGGAGUAUGAUAAGUACAAGGCGUUGACUCUCUACCCUUGUCUUUGUACAUACCUGUUUCCUUGGUAGGCUUGCCUACCAACUGGACAACCUAAACCCAAUGUAUUUGCAAUCAGUAUCUAAAUCACAAUAGUUACAACUUUCAACAACGGAUCUCUUGGUUCUA
Molecule: unclassified non-coding RNA, 246 nt
Filed under: fungal sp.
Lineage: Eukaryota; Fungi
Description: partial internal transcribed spacer region
Rfam family: Eukaryotic small subunit ribosomal RNA (bases 1-46)
Source: RNAcentral